GACGAACCGUCCAAACGUUAUUCGGAAUCACUGGGCUUAAAGGGUGCGUAGGCGGUCUGUUAAGUUGGGUGUGAAAGACCUCGGCCUAACCGAGGAAUGGCGCCCAAAACUAGCGGACUUGAGCAAGGCAGAGGUGAACGGAACUUAGGGUGGAGCGGUGAAAUGCGUUGAUAUCCUAAGGAACACCAGUAGCGAAAGCGGUUCACUGGGCCUUUUCUGACGCUGAUGCACGAAAGCCAGGGGAG
This 245-nucleotide ribosomal RNA is filed under the name uncultured bacterium. RNAcentral describes it as "partial 16S ribosomal RNA". It matches the Rfam family "Bacterial small subunit ribosomal RNA", at positions 524 to 768 of the family's 1533-position model. The record is from RNAcentral.